RNAcentral lists this ribosomal RNA (497 nucleotides) under uncultured bacterium. RNAcentral describes it as "partial 16S ribosomal RNA". It matches the Rfam family "Bacterial small subunit ribosomal RNA", at positions 28 to 507 of the family's 1533-position model. The record is from RNAcentral.
GAUGAACGCUGGCGGCGUGCCUAAUACAUGCAAGUCGAGCGAACGGACGAGAAGCUUGCUUUUCUGAUGUUAGCGGCGGACGGGUGAGUAACACGUGGAUAACCUACCUAUAAGACUGGGAUAACUUCGGGAAACCGGAGCUAAUACCGGAUAAUAUUUUGAACCGCAUGGUUCAAAAGUGAAAGACGGUCUUGCUGUCACUUAUAGAUGGAUCCGCGCUGCAUUAGCUAGUUGGUAAGGUAACGGCUUACCAAGGCAACGAUGCAUAGCCGACCUGAGAGGGUGAUCGGCCACACUGGAACAGAGACACGGUACAGACUCCUACGGGAGGCAGCAGUAGGGAAUCUUCCGCAAUGGGCGAAAGCCUGACGGAGCAACGCCGCGUGAGUGAUGAAGGUCUUCGGAUCGUAAAACUCUGUUAUUAGGGAAGAACAUAUGUGUAAGUAACUGUGCACAUCUUGACGGUACCUAAUCAGAAAGCCACGGCUAACUACGUG